UGCUUGGCCAAAAUAGAACUUUCUGGCUGGUGUCCGUGCUCAGAAGAGAUCACAACCACUGUGCUGCCAAACGUGAGGAUGGCUGAACGUGAACAGGGACUGAUGGAAGGUGUUGGGAGCAACCACGACAGCAGCGGGCAUUAGAAAGACUGAAUGCUUCAUUCCCUCCUGUGAAACUGUGAGGAAUUUAACCCCAAAAGAUGGUGGUAAAACAAGGAGCUGCCAUAGGCAUCCAUGGCGCUUCCCCAAUUAGCAAUCUCCUCCAGCACUUACCCUGCAGUCAAAUCCAAGAACAUCUGUUUAAACCCACACUGGAUAGCUGCCAGAUUAGUGGAAAGGAUAUGGUAUAAAGAAGACUUUUGUUUCCUCAGAGCAAGGAGAAAAAAUAAGUUACAAG
Long non-coding RNA from Pipra filicauda (Wire-tailed manakin), 397 nucleotides. RefSeq lists it as uncharacterized. The transcript has 3 exons. Lineage: Eukaryota; Metazoa; Chordata; Aves; Passeriformes; Pipridae. The record is from RefSeq and is a predicted model, not a curated record.